AGAGCUACCAACCACUCUCCUUUUGUGGGAAGAGGUUGAUAAAAACAGAGGCUGCCAAGAGAUGUACUUGAGUAGGAGGAGACUGCCCUGGCAACAAGUGAAUGUAGCCUUGGAUAUCCGCUCUCAGAAGGAAUAUGACAAAUCUGAAGCUAUACCUGAGGAAUUAGCUGGAGCUGGACAACAGUAACGAGGUGCAAGUCCCCAUGGAAGAUUCAAGCCUGUCCAGUGGUGUUGAUGUGGACAAAGGCUUUGCCAUUGCCUUUGUUGUUCUUCUGUUUCUGUUCCUAAUAGUGAUGAUUUUUCGGUGUGCCAAGCUGGUGAAGAAUCCCUACAAGGCCAGCUCCACAACCACAGAACCAUCUCUGAGCUGAAGUAUAAUAAAACCUGGUAGACUCCCCCAAGCAAGAGAUUUGAAAUCUGUUAUACACACUUUAUAUUAUUUCACCUCCCUGUUUCUCAGCCUUCUCACUCUUGCAUUCCACAGUGAGAUGAAACACAAGCCAGUUUGUAUUGUUCCUGUUCAGGGAAAUGGCUACUAAAGUGAGAUAAAG
RNAcentral lists this long non-coding RNA (551 nucleotides) under Homo sapiens (human). RNAcentral describes it as "HSALNT0015030". Lineage: Eukaryota; Metazoa; Chordata; Mammalia; Primates; Hominidae. The record is from RNAcentral.